GUGUCAGCAGCCGCGGUAAUACAGAGGUCCCAAGCGUUGUUCGGAUUCACUGGGCGUAAAGGGUGCGUAGGUGGCGAAGUAAGUUGGAUGUGAAAGCUCCGAGCUUAACUCGGAAAUGGCAUUCAAAACUACCUUGCUAGAGGGUUGGAAGGGGGACUGGAAUUCUCGGUGUAGCAGUGAAAUGCGUAGAUAUCGAGAGGAACACCAGUGGCGAAGGCGAGUCCCUGGACAACUCCUGACACUGAGGCACGAAAGCUAGGGGAGCAAACAGGAUUAGAUACCCUGGUAGUCCUAGCCGUAAACGGUGCACAUUUGCUGUGAGAGGAUUCGACCCCUUUCGUGGCGUAGCAAACGCGUUAAAUGUGCCGCCUGGGGAGUACGGUCGCAAGAUUAAA
RNAcentral lists this ribosomal RNA (395 nucleotides) under uncultured bacterium. RNAcentral describes it as "bacterial SSU rRNA". It matches the Rfam family "Bacterial small subunit ribosomal RNA", at positions 505 to 898 of the family's 1533-position model. The record is from RNAcentral.